Molecule: ribosomal RNA, 440 nt
Filed under: uncultured bacterium
Lineage: Bacteria
Description: partial 16S ribosomal RNA
Rfam family: Bacterial small subunit ribosomal RNA
Source: RNAcentral
CCUACGGGAGGCAGCAGUGGGGGAUAUUGCACAAUGGGGGAAACCCUGAUGCAGCGACGCCGCGUGUGGGAAGACGGUCCUCUGGAUUGUAAGCCACUUUCCCCAGGGACGAAGCUGACGGUACCUGGGGCGGAAGCUCCGGCUAACUACGUGCCAGCAGCCUCGGUAAUACGUAGGGAGCGAGCGUUGUCAGGAAUUACUGGGUGUAAAGGGAGCGUAGGCGGGGAUGAAAGUUGGGUGUCAAAACUACCGGCUAAACUGGUAGUCGCACUCAAAACUGGAGCUCUUGAGUGAAGUAGAGGCAGGUGGAAUUCCGAGUGUAGCGGUGAAAUGCGUAGAUAUUAGGAGGAACACCAGUGGCGAAGGCGGCCUGCUGGGCUUUUACUGACGCUGAGGCUCGAAAGUGUGGGGAGCAAACAGGAUUAGAUACCCGAGUAGUC